GUGGAUCCAGGUACUGGCACAACCAGGAGUCCUGAGCUGGGGUGGGGGGAAGGGGCUGCAGGGCAGCACUGGGGUGAUGCUGCAGGAGCACUGCAUGGCUCUACUCCUCAAUGGUCUGCACUGCUUGGAGGCCUGGGGUGCUAAGGGUGGGGUAGCCAUGACUGCAGGAUUGAACAGCGAAUACUUUAAAGGUAUAGAAGCACUGCAAGGACCAGAAAGGCUAUGCAAUAUCCCUUAGUUCUUUCAGCUUACCAGAGGCC
RNAcentral lists this long non-coding RNA (260 nucleotides) under Fukomys damarensis (Damara mole-rat). RNAcentral's name for it is "lncRNA (ENSFDAG00000026433.1)". Lineage: Eukaryota; Metazoa; Chordata; Mammalia; Rodentia; Bathyergidae. The record is from RNAcentral.